Petromyzon marinus (sea lamprey) is the source of this 1272-nucleotide non-coding RNA. The record is from RefSeq and is a predicted model, not a curated record. NCBI's taxonomy places the organism in Eukaryota, Metazoa, Chordata, Hyperoartia, Petromyzontiformes, Petromyzontidae.
CUCGACAGGGGACACGGUGGUGUAGCAGCAGCAACGUCGUCAGCCCGGGGGGCGGGGGGGGUUGCGGCAAUCGCUUUAGGUGGAGGCCCCAACAUUUGAUUCGUCUCGCACGGUCGCACCCGCCCAGGCUGUUCUGCAUCGCGGCUCCUCCUGCCAGCUCACGUCGUUCAGCAUUCUCAUAAGAGAAACGUUUUAAACCGCGUUUGAAAUAAGCACGGGGCGCGCGCGUUGUCUCGGCCGCACGAGACAACGCCCAAUGCCCGCUCGUCAAAUACGUUCUGUGAGUGGCAGCCGCUGUCGUCGUCGUCUUCAUCCGCCGCGAUCUAUCGGCUGCUGGACGUAGGGAUUUCCAAGCCGUCGACAUUGCUCGCGAGUUUACGAUGCAGAAGGACAUCUAGCUUCCUGCACAAGAGCUGAUUCCAUCGCUCCACGUGUCUGCUGCGGUGAAUGUACUCGAGUGUGUGGCAUUGUCGCCCUCACAACAAAGGGCGGAGCGCCGGGCGGAUAAAACCCGACGAGUUGGCACAGUAGGGGGCACGGCUGGUGCAUCUGCCAGUAAUCUCAAGUCGGUCAACCCGUGGCACCUGGGUCUGUCCCGUGACCUCCUGCCAAGCAAGCCUCCGGACACUUCAAGUGGCCUUAAAGUGCACCUAGCCUGGCACAAGCGCCGUGCUGAUGUCACCGCCACUUAGUGGUGAAUGGCGGUAUUCGUUGUUGUGGGCCCUCCUCUGGCCACUGUGGCUCCUUACGAUGUAUCCUAACCCAAGUGCAGGCUAAUAAAUAUAUCAUAUCAAUUGACCGUGUUGAAAAUUAAGCGAUCUCUGCUGCUGGAAGGGCUGGUGAAAAGUGGCAACAAAAAUGAGUUUGGUGUGCAGGGUAUCAGGUGGAUUGUUACCUCGCAGCUCCAUGAGAGAUGGUGACGGCUUGGGGAAGCCUUUAUCCAGCAGUAGAUAAAGCAUGGCCGAUAUUGUAGAUGAUGAUGAUGAUGAAAAAGAAGCUGGGUAUUCCCGCACAUUUAUUUAGCAAGGAAAACGUUUUCUUUUUACUUAUAUGUGUCACUGUAUAAUUAUUAUUAUUGUUGUUGUUUUAUGUUAUUAGGCGAUGGUUUAGGGAAGUUUACGACGAGUAAAAACAAAAUCUCAUUCUGUUAAUGGAAAGUCACCCGUGUACAGCCAGGCUGUAUAUUCUCUCUCUCUCGAUAAUGGAUCAAACCAAAGCCCUGCGCGGAGUGGCCCGCGAUGGCCGUUCGGAACGUUUAAACAAAAAUAUCUA